GACGAACGCUGGCGGCGUGCCUAACACAUGCAAGUCAACUUGACUGAAGGAGCAAUCUGACAGUAGAGUGGCGCAAGGGUGCGUAACGCGUAAGUAACUUGCCCAAGGUAAGGAAUAACGUCGAGAAAUCGGCGCUAAUACCUCAUAAUGCAGCGGAUCCGCAUGGAUAUGUUGUUAAAGGUUUACCGCCUUGGGAUAGGCUUGCGUCUGAUUAGCUAGUUGGUGUGGUAACGGCACACCAAGGCUACGAUCAGUAACUGGUCUGAGAGGAUGAUCAGUCACACUGGAACUGAGACACGGUCCAGACUCCUACGGGAGGCAGCAGUGAGGAAUAUUGGGCAAUGCUCGAAAGAGUGACCCAGCAACGCCGCGUGGAGGAUGAAGGUAUUCUAUAUCGUAAACUCCUAGUGAGAGCAGACGAAAGACAGAUUAUUAAUCUGGAUGACUGUAUGCUCAGAGGAA
Molecule: ribosomal RNA, 462 nt
Filed under: uncultured bacterium
Lineage: Bacteria
Description: bacterial SSU rRNA
Rfam family: Bacterial small subunit ribosomal RNA
Source: RNAcentral